Long non-coding RNA from Sphaerodactylus townsendi, 1624 nucleotides. RefSeq lists it as uncharacterized. The record is from RefSeq and is a predicted model, not a curated record. NCBI's taxonomy places the organism in Eukaryota, Metazoa, Chordata, Lepidosauria, Squamata, Sphaerodactylidae. The transcript has 2 exons.
GCUGAAUAUUCAGUGCCAGCUCUCAUCCAGAUAAGGCAUGGAUGGGAUCGGUUCCUGGUGCCAGCAGAUCACCCGGAAGGAAGUUUCAUCCCACCAGGUUGGGUCCUCCCCAGUCCCCCUUCCAGCGACGUUUGGGGCACGGCCGUUGGAUAAUGGUGCCAAAUCCUAACGAAGUUCUGGAGGACGCAGUGAUGUACUUUUCACAGAUCCAUUUGGUGUUAAAACACCUCAUUCUGUUUUCAUUGGAAAACCCAGAGACACAAGGCAGACUGCACUGUCAUAAUACAAGAUGAAACCCUUGGUCUUGGGAAGUUCUGUUGUUAGUCUUAUUUGUAAGAAGAGUGGCUUGAAGGAGUUAAUCAUCGUUGCAUCGUAAAUGAACUGCUUUUGCUGUUCAGUUGGGCUCCAAGAAGCCAAAAAAAAGUUUCUUAGAAUUUUCCAAAUCACAAAACGCUGCUGCCUUUUAUUUGAAGAAGAUCCCAACUGCUUAUUGCCAAGUUAGCAGCUAAGUUCUGCUUGGAGAUUAUGAAUGAGUCACCGGUCGGUGUGGCAGCAAAUCCUCAGUUAAGAACCUGUGCUGUUAACUUUUUCCUGCUAGAGUCAAGUACAGUCUUGAGACAAUGGCAGCUAGUGAACUUUUUGGAGAUGCCUGCUGGGGGGCUUCUAGCUACAGCUGUUUUUCUGAUCUUUCAGGGGUUUUUUUUAAAAAAAACUUCCAUGGUUAUUUUGGCCUUAUACACAGUGAAUUGGCAGCUGUGAGCAAUUAUCACCCUUUGAAACACUCUGGGGCAAAAUUGAGAGAAUUGUAGGUAUCAUUGUUGUUUUCUUGGUGCAUAUCACACCUUGGUUUUAUUUGUACAGGGAAAGGUCUGUGUAAUAGGGAAAAGCCAUUGUUUUGUGUUACCUCUUAAAUUCUGAAAACGAGAAAGGCAAUACCAACUGAUGUCGGUUUAACUGUACCUGCAAGGAAAUGAGCAAUUGAUGUUAAAUAUCUGGCACAGCCCUCUUAAGAUAAAUGUUAGCAACACAUUUUUCUCAGAUGCUCACAUUUCUGCACUGGAGGUUUUUGUAUUUUGGCAAACACACACACACACACACAGCUGCCUUUGGGAUGAGGAGCAUAACUGAGGAGUAAGAUUUCUCUGUUGCCCUUGGAGUGGAGCUGUUGAAGCUGUGGCAUCUGUUGGAUAAGUUAGACAGCCUCCAAAUUAUCCGGUACUUUUGCUGAUAAGUCAUUAGUAUACAUUAUACUAAUUCCGUUUUUUCAUUGUAUGAAAUCCUUGCUCAAUCUUUACAUUGUAAAGGCUUUAAAAAUGCGGCCUGUGUUCCUGUGAGAACAAAUCAAUGGUGUGUGUGUAUUUAUAGUGUAAGUUGUCGCCAGUAAGUGUAACUUGGCAAACGACGAAAACGUAAACCUUUCUCAACUCUGACUGCAACAGGAUCAUGGAGUAGUUGAAUCCCCUGUUCCAAAACCAGGCCUCAAUUUAAUACUUGGAUGUCAUCCAAGCAUAGCAAGUUGUAACCCGAAUGCAAUGUGGUAAAUUGUCGGAACUGUUUGUAAUGUUCUGUUUAAUAAAUUCUGGAUUUUAUUUGUAAUUUUAAAAAUAAACGACAUUUCACAGUU